AAAUAGAUAUUUGUAUGAAAUAUCACAGUAGUUAUAGAUUACCAAGCAAGCCAUGAAUUAUUUUAAAGUUUUGUUAAUUCUGUUGGUUCUUUUUGGGAUGUCUUCUCAAAACUCUGAGAAGGGUAGUGGAGUGGAAGUUAAAACAGCAACAAUGGUGAAUCCUCGGCCUAAUUGUCUAAAGGGAGAAAUAUAUAUGAGAGGGAAGUGCAGAAAACAAAUGGUAUAAACAUAGAUAAUUGUGGAAAAUGGAGUUUGAGAAGUUCCAGUUCCCCAUGGACAAAAAUGAACUAACAAAUGACAAUCAAAUUCUAAUUAAUUAAGUAUUGAUACGCUAAUAACAAUCGUUUUUAUAAUGAUGCUUAUGAUUCAAAUAAACUGUAUAAUCAAA
Diorhabda carinulata is the source of this 388-nucleotide long non-coding RNA. RefSeq lists it as uncharacterized. The record is from RefSeq and is a predicted model, not a curated record. The transcript is spliced from 2 exons. Lineage: Eukaryota; Metazoa; Arthropoda; Insecta; Coleoptera; Chrysomelidae.